UAACAAGGUUUCCGUAGGUGAACCUGCGGAAGGAUCAUUAGAGAAUCGCCCCGUUUUUUGAAAUGGGUUCUAUUCCCAAACCGUGUAUACAUACCUUUGUUGCUUUGGCAGGCCGCCUUUUAGGCGUCGGCUCCGGCUGACUGCGCCUGCCAGAGGACCCAAACUCGUUUGUUUAGUGAUGUCUGAGUACUAUAUAAUAGUUAAAACUUUCAACAACGGAUCUCUUGGUUCUGGCAUCGAUGAAGAACGCAGCGAAAUGCGAUAAGUAAUGUGAAUUGCAGAAUUCAGUGAAUCAUCGAAUCUUUGAACGCACAUUGCGCCCCUUGGUAUUCCGAGGGGCAUGCCUGUUCGAGCGUCAUUAUAACCACUCAAGCCUCGGCUUGGUCUUGGGGUUCGCGGUCUCGCGUCCCUUAAAAUCAGUGGCGGUGCCGUCUGGCUCUAAGCGUAGUAAUUCUCUCGCUAUAGGGUCCCGGCGGUUACCUGCCAGAACCCCCCAUUUUUUACGGUUGACCUCGGAUCAGGUAGGGAUACCCGCUGAACUUAAGCAUAUCAAUAAGCGGAGGAA
Molecule: ribosomal RNA, 565 nt
Filed under: uncultured Helotiales
Lineage: Eukaryota; Fungi; Ascomycota; Leotiomycetes; Helotiales
Description: eukaryotic LSU rRNA
Rfam family: 5.8S ribosomal RNA (bases 205-358)
Source: RNAcentral